UUUCCGUAGGUGAACCUGCGGAAGGAUCAUUACUGCAGUCGGUCUUAAUUCAUUAAAGCUUCUUCCCAGUGUGCUGGUUUUGCCCGUAUGUAAUGUUGGGGAUUAAACAUGGUUGGGAGAAAUCUUGUCUGUCCCCAACAAAUUAUCUUAUCCUUUCUUAAAUUGAACUGACCGCAUUUUGAGAUUACAUAUAAAAAUAAUCUAUGAAUAUAACUUUCAACAACGGAUCUCUUGGUUCUC
RNAcentral lists this unclassified non-coding RNA (240 nucleotides) under plant metagenome. Its description in RNAcentral is "partial contains small subunit ribosomal RNA, internal transcribed spacer 1, and 5.8S ribosomal RNA". The record is from RNAcentral.